Molecule: long non-coding RNA, 200 nt
Filed under: Vigna radiata
Lineage: Eukaryota; Viridiplantae; Streptophyta; Magnoliopsida; Fabales; Fabaceae
Description: long non-coding RNA (VRAD_LNC014637)
Source: RNAcentral
AAAAAGAUUGUAAGGUUGUGGUGAGUAUGGUUGAGGAAAGAAUAGAAAAAGAAAGUGUUGAGUUAGAAAAAAAAGAGGAAAAAAAAGAAAUAUGUGAGGGAGAGAUUGGAGAACAAAAAGAGAAGAGGGGAGAGAAAAAAAAAUAGAAAAAGAUGAGAAAAUUGAGAAAGAUGAGAGAGUUCUUCCUUACCCAAAGGGGC